Molecule: ribosomal RNA, 465 nt
Filed under: uncultured bacterium
Lineage: Bacteria
Description: partial 16S ribosomal RNA
Rfam family: Bacterial small subunit ribosomal RNA
Source: RNAcentral
CCUACGGGAGGCAGCAGUGGGGAAUCUUCCGCAAUGGGCGAAAGCCUGAUGGAGCAAUGCCGCGUGAAUGAUGAAGGUCUUAUAGAUUGUAAAAUUCUUUUAUUUGGGAAGAAAACCUAAAGUAGGAAAUGACUUUCGUCUGACUGUCCCAUUUGAGUAAGUAUCGUCUAACUAUGUGCCAGCAGCCGCGGUAAUACAUAGGAUGCAAGCGUUAUCCGGAUUUACUGGGCGUAAAACGAGCGCAGGCGGGUUAACAAGUUUGGUAUGAAAGGCUUUUGCUUAACGAAAGUUUGUAUCAAAAACUGGUAAUCUAGAGUGUAGUAGAGAGGGCUGGAAUUCCAUGUGGAGCGGUGGAAUGCGUAGAUAUAUGGAAGAACACCAGUGGCGAAGGCGAGAACUUAGGCUAUAACUGACGCUUAGGCUCGAAAGUGUGGGGAGCAAAUAGGAUUAGAUACCCUUGUAGUC